GACAGAGGGUGCAAACGUUGUUCGGAAUUACUGGGUGUAAAGCGCGUGUAGGCGGCCAACUAAGUCGGGCGUGAAAUCCCACGGCUCAACCGUGGAAGUGCACUCGAAACUGGAUGGCUAGAGUCCUGGAGAGGAAGGUGGAAUGCUUGGUGUAGAGGUGAAAUUCGUAGAUAUCAAGCGGAACACCGGUGGCGAAGGCGGCCUUCUGGACAGUGACUGACGCUGAGACGCGAAAGCGUGGGGAGCAAACAGG
Molecule: ribosomal RNA, 253 nt
Filed under: uncultured bacterium
Lineage: Bacteria
Description: partial 16S ribosomal RNA
Rfam family: Bacterial small subunit ribosomal RNA
Source: RNAcentral